UGUCGCAUCACUGCACCAAUACAUAAUACAUCUAAUGUAUGCAAAUCAGGUCUUUAUUUAGUGUUUAGUUUAUUUAUAAAACUUUGGCGAGAAAAGUGUAACGUUUUACAUUUUUAUUUGCCAUCAUUCACCUUAAUAAUCGCGGCAGUAGUUUAUUAUUUAUUCUAUCAAUUUUUAACCUACACGAGUCUUGUAACUCUUAUUUACUUAUGUUAUAAAAUUCCCUGAUAAUAAUAUGCUAAUAUUGGGUAAAAAUAGACUUAGAAGCAGAAUGGUUAAUGUUAGAUCUUACUGUUUACAAUUCAAAUUAGAUAUGUUUUUAUGAGCUGUCUACAAUAUGCUUUAUAAACUGAAUAGUGCAGUUUAAAUAAAAUUUUCAGGUUUUUAUUGUUUUAACUUUUAUCUAAGAUAAUGCGGUCUACCAAACAUUCUUUUAGAGGAUAAAACUCCACUUAUAGCAUCUAUUGAUUAUCUCAAUUUAUUUUAACAAGACAUUAUGUUCGUGAAAAUAAAAUACAUGAAACAGGCUCAAUAAUAUUAUAUAAGUAAUUAUCUGGUUUCACUUUUAACGUGUAGUUGUUAUUAUGAUUUUUUCUUAUAAACUUGCUAUUUAUUAAUAAGGAUUUGAUGUGCAUUUCUAUUUAAUUAUCCAGGAGGAGUAACGUACCGUAAAGUCGGGGGACUUUGACUCACUUUGUUAUACUUUUUUUUUGUAAAAAUAAAUAUAACAAAAUUAACUUAAAAUUUUUUUUAAUGUAUGCAAAAACCUACAUAUAUGACGAAGUAACACAUUCUUCUUCCAUUUCACACAUAUUUAAAAAAUAUUUUAUACGACGAGCGAAAUAUUUAAAUUUUGAAGGUCAUAUAAUUUGUCCUGCAGCGUAGGUUCAUAAAUGUAUUUCGGGUGUCUACUCUUUGCUCUAUUUUUAUGAUCGAAAAGCAUUCGAAUAAUUUGGGUUUUAUUUUAAGGUACGAUCUGUUUUGAGCGAGUAGUCGGGGCGAUUAGACGAGACGUUUAAUCGUGUCAUUAGGUUAAAUAGCCAUAUCAUAGAAAUGGUCUGGUUUAGGCGACAAGUCGAAACAAGUCGCCACAAGACGACGCGUCUUUAAGCAAAAUUGGUCGUCAGGCAAAGUAAACGCGCGCGUUUGUUAAAUCCUUAGAACAUUGAAAGGCUAGAAUUAGUAAACAACAACUUUGUUUGAGUCCAACAUGUGCACAGGGGCAAGAGGAGUGUUUUGUUUACAAACAUAUUUGCCGAUUCUCUGUUGUCAAGUCGACGCAAAUUUCCAACGGAGGAAAUUUUUAGCUAUAUUUUAACAACCAUUAUAACGUUAAUUUAACUUAUUUGUGUUGUAUUUUAUAGAAAAAUUUAAAAUAAAAAGUAUAAAUACUACAAUUAACCUAUUUUAGCAAUAAAUAUAAUAUCCUUAAGCAAAAAAUAAACAAAAUUAUUAACAUUCUUAUCCCCAAAACGGCUUCUAAAAAAUUUGAAGCGACAACACCGGAGCUUUAGCGCCUGAGCCAUACGCGUAGUGUCAUCUGUCAAACGGCUUUUUGUUUAUUUUGGGGAUUCGUGUAUUUUCUUUAAUUUUUAGUUUAAAAAGGAAAAAGGCCACAUUUUAGUGUUUUUUUAAAUUGCUAGGAUGGCAAAAACUUGUGUCGUUUGUGCCGCAUCAUGAUAAAAAGGUAAUUCAAGCCGAUCCUCUCACAAAUUGCCUAAUAUAUGCCCAAAGGGAACAAUGGAUUUCAUUAAUGGAAAUCAACACAAUUAAAAAGAACAUAUUUGUUUGUUCAGAUCACAUCCUUAGAAGUGAUUUCUUAUAUAAGGGAGAUAAUAUUAUCAGUAGCCAGACUUUAUUAAAAAAAUCAGCUCUACCUUAAAGGAUUUCUGAUGCACUGGUUAAAAACACAGCAGCCGAUAAUUCAGUUAAUUUACCAAGUGAUUUACCCUUCAAACCUGCAGGGGUAGUUUUCUUGAAGAGUGCAAAAACUUCUUUAGAUUCCAAAAUGGUAUAUAGUACAAAUAGUGAAGCUAAUAUACACAAAUCUGAUCAUUCAUCAACAAUAACUGCAUCUGAGAUUAAUUGUUACCGUCUAGGUCUAGGUCAACAAUUACUAUUUCUCAUCCAAGCCGUUUUUGUUUAACUGCUAUACAUUCGCUGACUCUGCCAAGGAAAAGGGUAAAAUCAAAAUAAUAUCCUGAGGACCUAAGCACUGAUGAUUCCACCGUUUCAAAAGCUAAAUCACUUGUCACCAAAUUAUGGAAAAAAAAAAGAACAAAAAAUUAAAAUUCGACGAUUGCAACAAACAAAUUUGCGCCAAAGAAAUUGAAUUAGAUGUCUCAAGUCAUUAUUAAAAUACUUAAGAAAUAAUAACAUGAUUUUCGAAAAAGCCCAACAUACUACAUAUUUUAUUUGACUUGUAAAAGUACUUGUUUGAAUAUUACUACUAAUAAACUAUCAAAUCUAAUCUAUUGUACAUAG
Anthonomus grandis grandis is the source of this 2484-nucleotide long non-coding RNA. RefSeq lists it as uncharacterized. The transcript has 5 exons. The record is from RefSeq and is a predicted model, not a curated record. Lineage: Eukaryota; Metazoa; Arthropoda; Insecta; Coleoptera; Curculionidae.